GGCACCCCAACCCCCCUGCUCACUCACUAAUUCAGCCCCUGUUACCAGGCGCCUGCUGUGUGCCGGGUGCUCGAGGGCCCUACUGCCCGGAGAUAGGAGCUUGGGGACCUGCCCCGGGGAGGGGAAGGAAGUAAAAACACAUUGGGCCCCUUCCCCAGGAAUGUCUCCCCAUCUUUCCCCACCACCCUUUCCAGGGAGAGCCGGGCCUCGAGGGUGACAGUGGCCCUGCAGGGCCCGAUGGGCUGAAGGGGGACAGGGGUGACCCUGGGCCUGAUGGCGAACGUGGCGACAAAGGCCAAGAGGGACUGAUGGGCGAGGACGGGCCCCCCGGCCCCCCUGGCAUCACUGGCAUCCGGCCCUUACUCAGGAUUUCCCACACCAUCAGGGAUGCUACCAGCUGGAGGGGGCCUGUCAGAACAAGUGGCCAGCCGCCCUGUCCUGGGGGAGACUCCUGGCGUCCUGGCCCUGUGCUGAAUUCUUCAGUGCUGACUCAUUUCUCCUUCUGACAAGGGAUCAGCCAUAGCAAUCACCUCAGCCUACUGACAAAUUCCACCAGCCCCUGUAUCAUGAUUGUACGAUUGCCCAGCUAUGACCAGCCUGGGACCGGGGGUGCCCCCCCCGCCGAGGACCCACGUCUCACUCGAAACCGGCGAGGUGACCUGUGGGUAGUGUCUUCAUCUCACUGUGUCUUUGGUUCUUAAAUGGAAUAAAUAACCCCUUCAUCUGCCUGUGUCUUUGGUU
Molecule: long non-coding RNA, 741 nt
Filed under: Ursus maritimus (polar bear)
Lineage: Eukaryota; Metazoa; Chordata; Mammalia; Carnivora; Ursidae
Description: lncRNA (ENSUMAG00000019491.1)
Source: RNAcentral